Molecule: ribosomal RNA, 1031 nt
Filed under: Salmonella enterica
Lineage: Bacteria; Pseudomonadati; Pseudomonadota; Gammaproteobacteria; Enterobacterales; Enterobacteriaceae
Description: partial 23S ribosomal RNA
Rfam family: Bacterial large subunit ribosomal RNA
Source: RNAcentral
AGAAAGCGUAAUAGCUCACUGGUCGAGUCGGCCUGCGCGGAAGAUGUAACGGGGCUAAACCAUGCACCGAAGCUGCGGCAGCGACACUAUGUGUUGUUGGGUAGGGGAGCGUUCUGUAAGCCUGUGAAGGUGUGUCGUGAGGCAUGCUGGAGGUAUCAGAAGUGCGAAUGCUGACAUAAGUAACGAUAAAGCGGGUGAAAAGCCCGCUCGCCGGAAGACCAAGGGUUCCUGUCCAACGUUAAUCGGGGCAGGGUGAGUCGACCCCUAAGGCGAGGCCGAAAGGCGUAGUCGAUGGGAAACGGGUUAAUAUUCCCGUACUUGGUGUUACUGCGAAGGGGGGACGGAGAAGGCUAUGUUGGCCGGGCGACGGUUGUCCCGGUUUAAGCGUGUAGGUGUGUGUUCCAGGUAAAUCCGGUUCACUUUAACACUGAGGCGUGACGACGAGGCACUACGGUGCUGAAGCAACAAAUGCCCUGCUUCCAGGAAAAGCCUCUAAGCAUCAGGUAACAUCAAAUCGUACCCCAAACCGACACAGGUGGUCAGGUAGAGAAUACCAAGGCGCUUGAGAGAACUCGGGUGAAGGAACUAGGCAAAAUGGUGCCGUAACUUCGGGAGAAGGCACGCUGACACGUAGGUGAAGUGAUUUACUCAUGGAGCUGAAGUCAGUCGAAGAUACCAGCUGGCUGCAACUGUUUAUUAAAAACACAGCACUGUGCAAACACGAAAGUGGACGUAUACGGUGUGACGCCUGCCCGGUGCCGGAAGGUUAAUUGAUGGGGUCAGCGCAAGCGAAGCUCCUGAUCGAAGCCCCGGUAAACGGCGGCCGUAACUAUAACGGUCCUAAGGUAGCGAAAUUCCUUGUCGGGUAAGUUCCGACCUGCACGAAUGGCGUAAUGAUGGCCAGGCUGUCUCCACCCGAGACUCAGUGAAAUUGAACUCGCUGUGAAGAUGCAGUGUACCCGCGGCAAGACGGAAAGACCCCGUGAACCUUUACUAUAGCUUGACACUGAACAUUGAGCCUUGAUGUGUAG